CGGCCGCGGUACCCUAACCGUGCGAAGGUAGCAUAAUCACUUGUUCUUUAAAUGAGGACUCGUAUCAACGGCAUCACGAGGAUCCUACUGUCUCCCCCCUCUAAUCGGUGAAACUGAUCUCUCCGUGAAGAAGCGGAGAUGUACAUAUAAGACGAGAAGACCCCAUGGAGCUUUAAACCCAACAACACCCGCCCCUCUCCAAAUCCUAUUAUUUUCCCGGUGAUUGUUUGUCUGGUUUUAGGUUGGGGUGACCGCGGAGUAUAAGAUAUCCUCCAUGAAAAAAAGCUAACUGCCCUUAUUAGAGAAAGACACUUCCAAAAAAUAAUAAAUUAAUUUUAAAUGAUCCGACAUUCGAUCAACGAACCAAGUUACCCUGGGGAUAACAGCGCAAUCCGUCCCGAGAGCCCCUAUCGACAGGCGGGUUUACGACCUCGAUGUUGGAUCAGGGUAUCCUAGUGGUGCAGCAGCUACUAAAGGUUCGUUUGUUCAACGAUUAAAACCCUA
RNAcentral lists this ribosomal RNA (504 nucleotides) under Boophis madagascariensis (Madagascar bright-eyed frog). Its description in RNAcentral is "partial 16S ribosomal RNA". It matches the Rfam family "Bacterial large subunit ribosomal RNA", at positions 1928 to 2598 of the family's 2925-position model. The record is from RNAcentral. Lineage: Eukaryota; Metazoa; Chordata; Amphibia; Anura; Mantellidae.